UACGGGGGGGGCAAGCGUUGUUCGGAAUUACUGGGCGUAAAGGGCUCGUAGGUGGCCAACUAAGUCAGACGUGAAAUCCCCAGGCUCAACUUGGGAACUGCGUCUGAUACUGGAUGGCUUGAAUUCGGGAGAGGGAUGCAGAAUUCCAGGUGUAGCAGUGAAAUGCGUAGAUAUCUGGAGGAAUACCGGUGGCGAAGGCGGCAUCCUGGACCGAGAUUGACACUGAUGAGCAAAAGCUAGGGGAGCAAACGGG
This 253-nucleotide ribosomal RNA is filed under the name uncultured bacterium. RNAcentral's name for it is "partial 16S ribosomal RNA". It matches the Rfam family "Bacterial small subunit ribosomal RNA", at positions 524 to 776 of the family's 1533-position model. The record is from RNAcentral.